CAGUCGCCCGGGAAUACAGAGGGUGCGAGCGUUAAUCGGAUUUACUGGGCGUAAAGCGUGCGUAGGCGGCUUCUUAAGUCGGAUGUGAAAUCCCUGAGCUUAACUUAGGAAUUGCAUUCGAUACUGGGAAGCUAGAGUAUGGGAGAGGAUGGUAGAAUUCCAGGUGUAGCGGUGAAAUGCGUAGAGAUCUGGAGGAAUACCGAUGGCGAAGGCAGCCAUCUGGCCUAAUACUGACGCUGAGGUACGAAAGCAUGGGGAGCAAACAGGAUUAGAUACCCCCGUAGUCCCUGUCUCUUAUACA
This 301-nucleotide ribosomal RNA is filed under the name uncultured bacterium. RNAcentral's name for it is "partial 16S ribosomal RNA". It matches the Rfam family "Bacterial small subunit ribosomal RNA", at positions 509 to 808 of the family's 1533-position model. The record is from RNAcentral.